Molecule: unclassified non-coding RNA, 251 nt
Filed under: Hevea brasiliensis (rubber tree)
Lineage: Eukaryota; Viridiplantae; Streptophyta; Magnoliopsida; Malpighiales; Euphorbiaceae
Source: RNAcentral
GUCCGUAUGCCUUCUCGAGGGAAUAUAAAUGAAACUGUUGUCUUUAGUCUGAUUCCCAUCAUCCAACACAUCAGAAGUGUCGACAUCAAUGGAAGGGACAUUGUCAGGAAUGAGCAUCAACAGUAAUUUACAGAUCGCAAAUGCGAUAGCGAUAACAAUCAACGGCCACCAGAACGCCAUUAGAAGGUUUCUAGAAGCUUCGAAGAAGAUUAAUUAGGGUUUUUCACACUACUCUUAGAAGGAAUUUGAAG